Camelina sativa (false flax) is the source of this 1873-nucleotide non-coding RNA. Lineage: Eukaryota; Viridiplantae; Streptophyta; Magnoliopsida; Brassicales; Brassicaceae. The record is from RefSeq and is a predicted model, not a curated record.
AUUUAUGUUUUCUUAGAUCUGUUUUUUUGAGACAGUGGAUGUUUAAUUUUGAUGUUGUUAUGAGAUUACCGCUAGUUAGCUGUGAAGGUUUCAUUAGUCGUUUUCAAAUUCACUAAGAAACUGAUCCAAAACCCCUUUUUAUUUCUCCGUGAACCACCGUCUCCGGGGAGCCGCUCCGUCGUCUUCAGUCGCUAUCUUGACAUCUCAGUCGCUAUCUCACAUCCAUGGUUAUGGAUUUGAGUUUGAAUGGUCUUUUCUGUAAUUUUGAGGUUUUCAAUUUGUAACUCCUCUAAAUGGAACGUCAUCUGAUGAUUGAGAAGCUCAUAAAACACAUUGAGAAUGAUAAUCUCAAGCUGCUCAACAAAAUCAGAAGAAGGAUGGACAGGUUAAACGAUGGAGUAUCAGAACAAGCAUGGUGGGAGGGUCAAGUUACAGCCCAUGGUGCUCCCUCAGUCUUAGUUUGAUCACCCUGAGAAAUGAGAUGUUCUCUAUGGUAAAGCUGAUUUCUAUCUAAAAGGUGUACGAAUCUGAAUACCAUAUAGUUACGGACCGUCAUCCUUCUAUUACUUACUAUUAAUUGGAAUAUAUUGAAACUUAUGAGGGUGACAUUAUUUUCCAUGGCCCUUAUUUGGGCGAUAUUAGUCUGGGCCACCUUUUAUCCUAGGUCAGGCCUGACUAUAGUUUAGUGAAAUUCGUAAUUUAUAUUUUCACAUUUAUAAUCAUUUAUUAGAUGAGAUGUAUCUACUUCAAUGGGAGAGUUACAACCACUAACAAUUACGCUGUUUUGAAAAGAAAUGUAGGGUACACCGAAUGGUCACCAUUAGCCGCUUAUAAAAUACACAAUCUUACUGAUUUCAUAUUCAUUUCGGAAAAAGGUUUAUGUUAAAAUCAUUAGGAAAUGGAACAAGCGAGAUCGCGACGUCUCAACUGUUGAACUGGUUGUUUGCGACGUAUUUUUAAGGUGACAAGAUGCAGGCAACAAUAAGUGACAACCUUGUGCACCAGUUCUAUGUACGUAGAGGGAUCGAGGAGGAUGAGCGGAAAACCAUUUCGAAUUUCGAGGUUGAAGUCGACACAUCUGGUGUGAAGGUUGUGGAUAUAAACUACCUGAUCAAAUUUACUGCAGAUACAAUAGUUGAAAACAUUGAUAUCUUGUCGAACAAUAACUUGAUAGACUACCAAACCUUCGACAAGAUUUAUAAUACAAGAUUUAUAAUGGAUGGUCUUCUUUCACCAAGAUCUGAUGUUUAGAUACGAUGGGGGAAGUAGUCCGCAUGGAACCAACGUUACAUGUUGAUUAUCCAGCUGCUGUUCAUUAUAACAAAAAGACCCGGAUAGUCCGGUUUUCAUUAAGGAACCUAGAGUGAGACAUUUUAUUCAAUUUUCUCCAUGUAUUAGAUUAUUGCGAAUCCAUGAAAUUUAAUGUCUUCUAACGGCUAGAUAUUUAAGUUACCGUUUUAAGGAGUCAUCAGUUGCACUAUGUUACCUAUAAUGAAGCAUUUGGUUUCUUUGACAAUCAUUGGUGGCCCAGUUGUUGCAGUCUUGCAUUUUUGGAGGGUUAAGUUUAAGGACAGAGGUCAAAGAGUAGAGAUUUUGAGUUAACAUGUUGUAUCGAGGGUGUAUUUUGACCCUCUAUUUCAAGAGAUUCAUGAUUUCAAGAUCAGGUUAGACUACAUCAACCAGCGUGAGAAGAACGAGGAAGUGUAGUAUAUGUUGGACGUUUAACUUACAUUAUUUCUUUGAAAAGAAGCCUCCUAUUUUGUAUUUCUUUCUUCUCUCUCACUUUUUUUAGGAUGUUAUCACUCUCCCUAUGACAUAAAUUAUUUAUGUAUAUGCUAUAUGGCGUCUGUUUCGUUAAAUUUAUAAGUUUGAA